GCCUGGGUAGUUCAGUGGUAGAACGCUUCCAUGGUAAGGAAGAAGUCGAGGGUUCAAUUCCCUCUCCAGGCUCCA
Molecule: transfer RNA, 75 nt
Filed under: candidate division WWE3 bacterium
Lineage: Bacteria; candidate division WWE3
Description: tRNA-Thr
Rfam family: tRNA
About the family: Transfer RNA (tRNA) molecules are approximately 80 nucleotides in length. Their secondary structure includes four short double-helical elements and three loops (D, anti-codon, and T loops).
Source: RNAcentral